Molecule: long non-coding RNA, 4697 nt
Organism: Chrysemys picta bellii (western painted turtle)
Lineage: Eukaryota; Metazoa; Chordata; Testudines; Emydidae
Source: RefSeq, a predicted model, not a curated record
UCGCGUUACAUCGGGGUAGAGGUGUAUUUAUUAUUUCUAGUAACGCAGUGCCUAGGAGCUCUGGUCCAGGAUCAGUACCCCAUUGUGCUAAGUGAUGUACAAACAGAACAAAAGACAGUCGCUGCCCCAAAGACAUUGCAGUCUAAGUAUCUGUUAUUAGAACUGAGAUUGCAUGUUUUGCACAGAGUGGGGGCAUGUGUGUGUCACCAGUGGUUGUGGAAGAGGUAACAGAGGAAGUGAAAUCAUAGUUGUGAAUUGCAAGAGAAGAGCUUAGGAUGAACCUAGUGUGUUGCUGAGAUAUUUAGGGCUAUGCUGGUGGUGUAUGUACCCAAGUAUUAACUGGUUUCAGUGAGGCUUUUUGUUUUAGUAGAUUUAAGUUGUAUAAUUGUAUAAGUGCGAGGCAGGAUGUUUUGAAGAAAAGGAAUGGUUUAGAACUAAGGCUUGAGAUGCCCUUAGUUUAAUUGCUCACAUCUCAGGACUUUGAUACACCACAAGUCAGAAAAUGAAGCAAAGAGACAAAGAGAAGGCUCAGUGGCAUUGUAACGUUGUUACCAUGAUAAAUAUAGAACUACUUAAAGAAGAAAUGUGUGAUAACUGCAAUGAGGGAAGGGGAGGUGUGGCAUUAAAGGGAAAUAAAUUACCUGUCCUCAAAUCCACAGAGAGCCCUAAUCAUGCUGUUAGCCCCCACAUUCAGCAAUACAUUCCUUUGCCUUCUGAUGUAUCAUCAUCCAUCUUUUGACAAACUCUUAAUGAAAUUAAAAUAUAUAGGCUCUAGACUGACUGCCCAGCUGCUGGCCUUUCACCAGGUGUAGUGUUCUCCCUCUCUGCUGUCACUCUGGCCUAGAGGUCCUCAGUUAGGUCCUCCCUGCACUGUGCUAGCAAUGGUUUUCCUUUCUUGGCCAGAAUGAACCAGGAUUUUGUUCUGAAAACCUUUGCUCACAAACAGUGAGGCUCUAGCAUUGCUGCAAGAAUUCCUAUCCAUGCCAACUGUGUAAAUUAUGCUAGACCCAACUGUGUUUAAACAUGUUUGUGGCUAUCACCCUACUGAAUGGCUUUUGAUAAGAUAUUGUUUGUACAAACCUGUAGGUGAGGAUUGUGAAAUGAAAGUGGUGCUAGAGACCUUGGAGGUUUAGAUCUGUUAGUGUGUGCCAGUGUUUACAUCAAAAGUUAAGAAGCUAUUAAAGUGUUCAUUGAUCUUGAAGGCAGCAAAUUGCUAAUCAGAUGUAUCUGACAAGUCAUUCCUUUCAGCACUAAUCUGACUUGUUCCUUCUGUCUCCUUUAAUAUGGAAAUUCUCUGUUCUUACUGUACUUUUUCCCCAGCUUAGAAUAGCUAACUGCCUGAAUAUUGUACUUUAAUUCCUUAUUCCAUAUUAUUUCUGACUGAAAACCACUAAACAUAUACACCUCUAUCUCGAUAUAACUUGAACUGAUAUAACGUGGUAAAGCAGUGCUCUGGGAGGGCGGGGCUGCGCACUCCAGUGGAUCAAAGCAAGUUCAAUAUAACGCGGUUUUCAACAUUUUCACAGUUGUUUGUUUCUCUCAGGCUCCAACAUCUAUGUUUAGGUACCUGAAUAAAAGUGGCCAGAUUUUAUUCAACAUGACUAACACCUGCUGCUCCCAGUAACUUUGUUAGGGUUUGUGGAUGCUCAGGACUUCUGUUAAUCAGCCUUAAUUUAAGUGCCUAAAUAUCAAUUAAGAAGCCUAACUUUAGGCUUUGAAAUGUUGACCUGUUUCCUUAGAGAUAAUUUUAGAGUUUAAUUUGCAAGUUUGACAGAUUAAUAAAAUCAGGCUUAUCAAUUAGAAAAGGGCCAGGAACUUCUCUUUUAUGGGCUGACCCAUUUGUUUAUUUCCCCUCUCCCCUCCCACCCCAACAGAAGUGAGGUGUCUGUCAGUUGGCCAGCUUGAAGCUCUUUGUUUUAAAACAAUGUACAUUUACUUACCAAAUUUUCAGAUUAAAACAUCAGACUAUACAACAGUGAGAGACAUUUGAAAAAAAAAAAGUUUAAUUUGCCUGGGCAAAGGUUUUCAUCUGAAAAACUUAAAGUUUAACAAAGUGAACUAAUGAACCACGCUAAAGAGCUGUAAGACCUCUAUUACACUGGCACGUAUUCUCUCUUUCUGGCCUCUGCCCUCUCAGUUGAUAUUUAAUAACAAUUCCAGGGAUAGACUAAAGUGAGAAUUUAGACCCCUUUGUGUGCAUUUGGGGGGGGGCAUGCAAAGGAAGGAGAUGGCCAUAAAUUAGCUGCUUCUUGGCUUCCAUUCCAGAACUAUUAUUUGUGAUGGUUGGUGUUACGGCUGUCUGCUCCAGAGUUGCUCCUCUUUUGGGGCCUGCUUCAAAGGUCAUUCUAGACAAUUAGCACUAUUUCUAUUUAGCUGUGUCCUUUGAGUGAGGCAUUUUGUCAUCUUUUCUUCCUUGAAGAGUCCAGAAGGAGAGGGUACGGAAGGCAUCUACAUACAACCACUAGCUGAACUGGUCAACCAAGACGGAGUCAAGUGCCACACAGAGCUCUACCUGUCCUUCAUUACCUACAGACCACACCACUCCCACCCAGAUGGCCCAGUGUUUGGAUGAGAUCAGAUCAUGGAUGAAAUACAGCUGGCUAAAUCUGAGGAAACCCAAGGUGAUGUUGGUGGGCAGAGGAAAGUAUUUUGAGCUGUUUGCAGCCAUGGUGCAGUCUCCUUUGCUUGAAGGUUCAUGUCCACCAUUAGCUAAUUCAAUCCAUACUCUUGGAUUCCUCCCUCUAGGAGUACUUCUGGAUUCCUCACUGAUGCUGAGCUCUCACAUUGCAAUGGCCACAAGUAAUGCUUUCUGCCAUCUCCGGUUGACUAGAAGACUUCAUCCCAUCCUGUUGGACGAAGACCUGUCCCCAGUUAUUCAUGCCUUCAUCAUCUCUCAGCUGGAUUGUUGCAAUGCCAUAUACUUGAGCAAGAAAUUUUCUGCAUUCAGGUAUCUCUACCUAGCAUAAAAUGCUGCAGCAGCACAUCUCCUGAGCAACACAGGCUGCUGUGACCACAUCACAUCUAUCCUCUGCUGUCUACACUGGCCUCCCAUACAAUUUUGAACUAAGUUGAAGAUAACGACUAUCUUGAAAGCACUCUGGGACCUGGGUCCAGGAUACCCAAAAGACCAUCUAAAGCGCCAGGACAAAGACUGUGGUUAACAACUAAGCUCCUUUGGCAUGAAGGAACUCUCAAUGAUAGGAGUGAAGUUCAUCAGUGCAGGAGACAGAACCUUCUCCAGGUGUGGUCCGAGACUGUGGAAUGAACUCCCCCAGGAACGAUAGACCAUCACAAACCUCAUCACUUGCCACCCCAAGUGCAAGGCAUAUUUCUUUCAUUUGCCUUUUCUAACAGAAGUACACAACAAUAUAUUUAAUAAUAAUACAUAAUAAACUACCAAAACAAGUCCACACAGAUUUUUGUACCAGUUUAACUAAAUCAGUUUAAAAAUCACAUCUGGCAUUAACAUGGUGCAACUUUUCUGUUUAGACAAGCACAUCUUGCUUGGGGCCAUUUUGGCAACCCAGAAUUGCUGAAGCAUAGACAUGCUCCAGCCACACUCUACAUUAAGUGCUGUGAAGGUUGGUGGAACAGAGUUUCUCCAUGACCUGGGGAUGCCCUUGAUGCAGGAUAACUCCCAGCUGGCCAGAUCCAUCUGUUUUUAAAGCCCCUUUGUGCUGUUGGAGUAGCAAAAAGGGGCCCUGUCAGAACAGAGACUGUGUUCAGGCCUGCUAAGCUUGGGUUCCAUUUUUUCAGGUGAUGUAGAAGAUGAUUUAUUGGCAGACAAUAUCUGUAUUCAAAUAUAGUAUUUAAACAUAGAAAUAUUAGCCUCAGUAGAGCAAAGCAUACCAAAUAAAUGCUUUCAAUUUUGCUCAUCUCACUACUAAACAGAUACAUUUCCAUUAUCCCAGCAGUCGGUUCCCCCUUUCCCUUCCAAAAACAAACAAUCUUUCUAUACAUCAGGUUUUGAUUGAUGGAGAUGGGCCUUAGAGGCUUAACAUUGGAUUUAACAUGUGUACCUUCCCAAAAAACGUAAAGCUGAAUAAUUCUGAAAUUUGCUCCCUCUUGGGACAAAUGUUUAGUGAGCAAUAUGCUUUCCAUAUAGCCUAGAAGGCUUGGAAGCAGUGAUGGGUCUUUGUUUUACAGUAACUUCUAGAUCAUGGUGCUAAACUUGACCUUUCAGCCUCUGGAUGCAGAAGUACCUUAAUGUCUGACCUCAGAAAUACCAAUAAUCUACAUUUUAGCCUCCUUCCUACACCCCGUCCCCCAUUGAUAAAAUUUGUCUUUACUAAUUUUAUAUUAUACCUUUUUGCUGAAGAAUUGUAAAACUUCCUUGAAAAAUGUUUUUCCCCACACAACUGAAGUAUGUGCAGUUGACCAUAGGAUGAGUUGUGGGAUUUUUUUUAUGUUGUGUUUUUUUAGACUUAGGCUGAAAUAAAAUGUAAGCUUAACUACAUUCCUAUGGUGAAAUCACAUUAAUUCUAUUGCUUUUAAAAGGAUAGAUUUGAAAACUUGCUUUAAAAUUCUGAUUCAGAUUCACAAACACUGAUCAAAUUACUUUUAAAGAUUUUACCAGCAAUAUCAGACAAGGGUCAAACAUUUUAUUUUAUAUGGCAUGUAUAUGUUAAACUGGACCUUUAACUCAAACAGUUCUUGGUUAAAAUUUUAUAUCCAUCAUUAAAAAGAAGUUAACUAUA